AACAGCUCUGAGUAUCGCUCUGGAACCAGUGAGGCUGGCUGAAGUCAGAGGUCAGGGAAUCGAAGGCACAAGAACCGAGAUGGAAAACAGUGAGCAGCCUAGACUGAUGGAAAUGUGCACGUCAAACAGUGUAGAGGAGAGCAAAGUCAGCCUUCUUCUCCUUGCUGGGGACAUCAGCCUCAUCUUGCCAGGAGACCCUGAAAAUACCUCACCUGAAUCUUGCUUUGCAAAGUGAUGUCUGUCUUCCUCAAGGUCUCCUUCCAUCUCCAAUUAACUGACUCCAUGAUAACUGGAGUCAGGUUUUGGCUCAAGCAGGUGGGGAAAUGUAUCCCUGCUGCAGU
This 341-nucleotide long non-coding RNA is filed under the name Homo sapiens (human). Its description in RNAcentral is "HSALNT0327501". Lineage: Eukaryota; Metazoa; Chordata; Mammalia; Primates; Hominidae. The record is from RNAcentral.